This 2902-nucleotide ribosomal RNA is filed under the name Escherichia coli. Its description in RNAcentral is "bacterial LSU rRNA". It matches the Rfam family "Bacterial large subunit ribosomal RNA". The record is from RNAcentral. Lineage: Bacteria; Pseudomonadati; Pseudomonadota; Gammaproteobacteria; Enterobacterales; Enterobacteriaceae.
UUAAGCGACUAAGCGUACACGGUGGAUGCCCUGGCAGUCAGAGGCGAUGAAGGACGUGCUAAUCUGCGAUAAGCGUCGGUAAGGUGAUAUGAACCGUUAUAACCGGCGAUUUCCGAAUGGGGAAACCCAGUGUGUUUCGACACACUAUCAUUAACUGAAUCCAUAGGUUAAUGAGGCGAACCGGGGGAACUGAAACAUCUAAGUACCCCGAGGAAAAGAAAUCAACCGAGAUUCCCCCAGUAGCGGCGAGCGAACGGGGAGCAGCCCAGAGCCUGAAUCAGUGUGUGUGUUAGUGGAAGCGUCUGGAAAGGCGCGCGAUACAGGGUGACAGCCCCGUACACAAAAAUGCACAUGCUGUGAGCUCGAUGAGUAGGGCGGGACACGUGGUAUCCUGUCUGAAUAUGGGGGGACCAUCCUCCAAGGCUAAAUACUCCUGACUGACCGAUAGUGAACCAGUACCGUGAGGGAAAGGCGAAAAGAACCCCGGCGAGGGGAGUGAAAAAGAACCUGAAACCGUGUACGUACAAGCAGUGGGAGCACGCUUAGGCGUGUGACUGCGUACCUUUUGUAUAAUGGGUCAGCGACUUAUAUUCUGUAGCAAGGUUAACCGAAUAGGGGAGCCGAAGGGAAACCGAGUCUUAACUGGGCGUUAAGUUGCAGGGUAUAGACCCGAAACCCGGUGAUCUAGCCAUGGGCAGGUUGAAGGUUGGGUAACACUAACUGGAGGACCGAACCGACUAAUGUUGAAAAAUUAGCGGAUGACUUGUGGCUGGGGGUGAAAGGCCAAUCAAACCGGGAGAUAGCUGGUUCUCCCCGAAAGCUAUUUAGGUAGCGCCUCGUGAAUUCAUCUCCGGGGGUAGAGCACUGUUUCGGCAAGGGGGUCAUCCCGACUUACCAACCCGAUGCAAACUGCGAAUACCGGAGAAUGUUAUCACGGGAGACACACGGCGGGUGCUAACGUCCGUCGUGAAGAGGGAAACAACCCAGACCGCCAGCUAAGGUCCCAAAGUCAUGGUUAAGUGGGAAACGAUGUGGGAAGGCCCAGACAGCCAGGAUGUUGGCUUAGAAGCAGCCAUCAUUUAAAGAAAGCGUAAUAGCUCACUGGUCGAGUCGGCCUGCGCGGAAGAUGUAACGGGGCUAAACCAUGCACCGAAGCUGCGGCAGCGACGCUGAUGCGUUGUUGGGUAGGGGAGCGUUCUGUAAGCCUGCGAAGGUGUGCUGUGAGGCAUGCUGGAGGUAUCAGAAGUGCGAAUGCUGACAUAAGUAACGAUAAAGCGGGUGAAAAGCCCGCUCGCCGGAAGACCAAGGGUUCCUGUCCAACGUUAAUCGGGGCAGGGUGAGUCGACCCCUAAGGCGAGGCCGAAAGGCGUAGUCGAUGGGAAACAGGUUAAUAUUCCUGUACUUGGUGUUACUGCGAAGGGGGGACGGAGAAGGCUAUGUUGGCCGGGCGACGGUUGUCCCGGUUUAAGCGUGUAGGCUGGUUUUCCAGGCAAAUCCGGAAAAUCAAGGCUGAGGCGUGAUGACGAGGCACUACGGUGCUGAAGCAACAAAUGCCCUGCUUCCAGGAAAAGCCUCUAAGCAUCAGGUAACAUCAAAUCGUACCCCAAACCGACACAGGUGGUCAGGUAGAGAAUACCAAGGCGCUUGAGAGAACUCGGGUGAAGGAACUAGGCAAAAUGGUGCCGUAACUUCGGGAGAAGGCACGCUGAUAUGUAGGUGAGGUCCCUCGCGGAUGGAGCUGAAAUCAGUCGAAGAUACCAGCUGGCUGCAACUGUUUAUUAAAAACACAGCACUGUGCAAACACGAAAGUGGACGUAUACGGUGUGACGCCUGCCCGGUGCCGGAAGGUUAAUUGAUGGGGUUAGCGCAAGCGAAGCUCUUGAUCGAAGCCCCGGUAAACGGCGGCCGUAACUAUAACGGUCCUAAGGUAGCGAAAUUCCUUGUCGGGUAAGUUCCGACCUGCACGAAUGGCGUAAUGAUGGCCAGGCUGUCUCCACCCGAGACUCAGUGAAAUUGAACUCGCUGUGAAGAUGCAGUGUACCCGCGGCAAGACGGAAAGACCCCGUGAACCUUUACUAUAGCUUGACACUGAACAUUGAGCCUUGAUGUGUAGGAUAGGUGGGAGGCUUUGAAGUGUGGACGCCAGUCUGCAUGGAGCCGACCUUGAAAUACCACCCUUUAAUGUUUGAUGUUCUAACGUUGACCCGUAAUCCGGGUUGCGGACAGUGUCUGGUGGGUAGUUUGACUGGGGCGGUCUCCUCCUAAAGAGUAACGGAGGAGCACGAAGGUUGGCUAAUCCUGGUCGGACAUCAGGAGGUUAGUGCAAUGGCAUAAGCCAGCUUGACUGCGAGCGUGACGGCGCGAGCAGGUGCGAAAGCAGGUCAUAGUGAUCCGGUGGUUCUGAAUGGAAGGGCCAUCGCUCAACGGAUAAAAGGUACUCCGGGGAUAACAGGCUGAUACCGCCCAAGAGUUCAUAUCGACGGCGGUGUUUGGCACCUCGAUGUCGGCUCAUCACAUCCUGGGGCUGAAGUAGGUCCCAAGGGUAUGGCUGUUCGCCAUUUAAAGUGGUACGCGAGCUGGGUUUAGAACGUCGUGAGACAGUUCGGUCCCUAUCUGCCGUGGGCGCUGGAGAACUGAGGGGGGCUGCUCCUAGUACGAGAGGACCGGAGUGGACGCAUCACUGGUGUUCGGGUUGUCAUGCCAAUGGCACUGCCCGGUAGCUAAAUGCGGAAGAGAUAAGUGCUGAAAGCAUCUAAGCACGAAACUUGCCCCGAGAUGAGUUCUCCCUGACCCUUUAAGGGUCCUGAAGGAACGUUGAAGACGACGACGUUGAUAGGCCGGGUGUGUAAGCGCAGCGAUGCGUUGAGCUAACCGGUACUAAUGAACCGUGAGGCUUAACCUU